CCAAAAAACAUAGAAAGAAAAAAAGGAGAGCAUUUAUUUUGAACAAAUAAUUUCAGCAAAAAAACAUUGCUUCAAAUCUUGAGCUAAACAACAAUAUCGAAUACUAAUUUCUAACUCUUUUCCACUUUUUACCAUCAUUGCUCAUACUCAAAACUUCAUACCACUUGCAAAAAAAGAGCAUUUAUUUUCAACGAUUACCACAAAUAUAGGAACUUAUAAGAACUUUCAGGGGAAAAAACACUGGUAUGAAUUCAAAAUCUUGAGCUAAACAACAAUAUCGAACACUAUACUGUUGCACACGGAAUACGAACCAAAUCAAUCUGAUAAACUAACGCGAGAAAACUAGAAUUGGAGACACCAAAGUUCUUACCAGUGAGCCCUAGGGUUUUUGCACUUGGUAAUUGAGCUCAACUAGACAAGAACUGAGAGAAUCUUUCAAGCUAUAAAUGAUUACGAACGUAACGAAACCCUAAUUAAGACCAGCCGAGUCAUAAUGUGAACUUUAAGAGAUUAGUUUAGUAGAGGAUUUCGUAUAAACCCUAGGCAAAACCCAAGAUCGCUAGAGAAGGGAAGGGGUUCACUAUGCCUACAGCCUACUGGGAGAGGAGAGAGAAAGAAAAUCUCGACGAGGAGAGAGAAAGAGAGAGAGGUGCGAUCGAGUGCGAGGCGUAAAAGGAUUAUUUAUAAAGGGCACGGCAGGCUAGCCUAGACUCGACGAG
This 719-nucleotide long non-coding RNA is filed under the name Panax ginseng (ginseng). RNAcentral's name for it is "long non-coding RNA (PGIN_LNC018885)". Lineage: Eukaryota; Viridiplantae; Streptophyta; Magnoliopsida; Apiales; Araliaceae. The record is from RNAcentral.